Molecule: long non-coding RNA, 878 nt
Filed under: Anser brachyrhynchus (Pink-footed goose)
Lineage: Eukaryota; Metazoa; Chordata; Aves; Anseriformes; Anatidae
Description: lncRNA (ENSABRG00000007655.1)
Source: RNAcentral
GCAGAUGCAAAUGAGACCUAGUUUAGCAACAGCAUAACUUUUUAACACAACUUUUUUUUUUUUUUCCAUACAGAAUUACAUUUUAAGGGCUGAAUGGAAACCACAUGAAGAAAGCAGAUAUAAAUGUCCUUAAUGCAAAUCUGCAAUACUGUUUUUGCUGACUUAUUUUCCCCCUGCUUUCAUGUCCAGCCAGUCAGUCAAGCCUGCUUCAUGUCCCUUACAGACUGCUUGCACUCUGAAGACAUGAAAAUUGAAAACGUUUCAAAGAAUCACAGAAUGGGCAAGGUUGGAAGGGACCUCUGAAAUCAUCCAGUCCAACUCCCUGCCUUGCAGGAUGCACAGGAUGGCAUCCGGGUGGGUUUCGAAUAUCGCCAGAGAAGGAGACUCCACAACCUCUCUGGGCAAACUGUUCCACUGCUCUGUCACCCGGUUCAUCUCUUUUUCCUGCAUUCUGUGAAGGGAAAGUAUAUUUCUUAGAAUUUUUUUUUUUUAAUGUAAGUGCACAUUUGGAAAAAGCUAUUGAUGCUAAUGAGUAUUUAUUCCAGAAAUGGGAAGGUUGAAAAAUCUUCUGGUGAAGGAGACUCAAGAUGAACAACAACCUUCUAAAACAGGAAUGAAUUUGAUUGUGUCUUUUUUUAAAGCCUGCUACCAGUGAUAUCCUAGAAAUAAUUAGUAAGUCACUGUUAUUUGCUUCUUUUUUGUUUCUGACUAGCCGAGCAGGACACUGCAUUCAAUGCUAUGGUAAAAAUCUGAGUUGGAGUACUUGUGUGAUUUUAUAUUUUAAAUUAGACACAGAUCAUGCAGAAUGUACUGCUAACUCACGUGGUGCAGGUUAAUUUGUAUCUAUAAAUACCCCUGAAAAAUAUAUAUGUUCCCAG